RNAcentral lists this ribosomal RNA (601 nucleotides) under uncultured bacterium. Its description in RNAcentral is "bacterial SSU rRNA". It matches the Rfam family "Bacterial small subunit ribosomal RNA", at positions 731 to 1337 of the family's 1533-position model. The record is from RNAcentral.
AGGCCUUUACUGACGCUAAAGCUCGAAGGUGCGGGUAUCGAACAGGACUAGAUACCCUGGUAGUCCGCACGGUAAACGAUGGAUGCCCGCUGUUUGCGAUAUACUGUGAGCGGCCAAGAGAAAUCGUUAAGCAUCCCACCUGGGGAGUACGCCGGCAACGGUGAAACUCAAAGGAAUUGACGGGGGCCCGCACAAGCGGAGGAACAUGUGGUUUAAUUCGAUGAUACGCGAGGAACCUUACCCGGGCUUGAACUGCAGCGGAAGGAUACAGAGAUGUUGACGUCCUUCGGGACCGCUGUGGAGGUGCUGCAUGGUUGUCGUCAGCUCGUGCCGUGAGGUGUCGGCUUAAGUGCCAUAACGAGCGCAACCCCUUUCAUUAGUUGCCAUCACUUCGGGUGGGCACUCUGGUGAUACUGCCACCGUAAGGUGUGAGGAAGGUGGGGAUGACGUCAAAUCAGCACGGCCCUUACGUCCGGGGCUACACACGUGUUACAAUGGGUGAUACAGAUGGCAGGUUCACGGCAACGUGGAUCAAAUCUUGAAAGUCAUCCUCAGUUCGGAUUGGGGUCUGCAACCCGACCCCAUGAAGCUGGAUUCGCUA